CUGUCUUCCCAGCCUGUGGGCCCCUUGGUCUUUCUCUCUCCUAGUCUUUACUAACUGUUGCCUUAGCCCUUGGUUAAAGACUUAGGCAGAAAAUACAUUUUCUUCAGGCAAUCUGACAGCUGGAGCCAAUGGGAAAUGGGUAGCAUGUCAGAGGAGCCUGAUUCCUGGGCUGGGCAGGGCUGUGUGGUAGGGUGAGAGCAACGGCCACAACGAACAGCAGAAGGGGGACUCUUAUUUUUAACAGCUGUGCUUUGGGGCACAAGGCAGAAAAUGUUUCUUUCUACCUUCUCCCAGGGGCAGGGACAAACAGCAGUGACUCUGUGGGUGACUGAAGAUGAAGUAAUUGCUGGGUUCUGAUUAGGAAUAGAGGAAGAUUGCCUUCUGCCCACGCGCCAGCCUCCGAGUGGCUGAAGGUGCUGGAGGCAGAGGAUAAGAAGGGAGGUGGCCCCUGUUGGCUCCGAUAAGCAGCUUGGACACCAGCCCUGAAGCAGGGAAAAGACAGAUGUACUAAUUGUCAUGGAUGGCAAACUGUGCCCCCAAACUUGUACCAAGCCUCAAAGCCUUGGUUUAAUACUCCUGAAGGAGUAAUAGACCCAAUGUGACAUUUUGCAUGCAGGAACCCCUUAACAGCUACCUCCAUAUUAUGCGUGCUUCAUGAAUGGAGACACCUACGUUAUAUGAAGUUCUCUAUUGGGCUGUAAACUUCCUGAGACAGGCCUUCUGGGAAAUUACUCUCUACAUCCCAGGACUGCAAUGUCCAGUGCAGACCCGUGCAUUUAGAUGUUUCCAAAAUAGCAGUUGUUUCCGCGGCAUUAUGUUCUGCUGGCCUAGAGGUCUUAGUUCCAGAGGGAGGAAUGCUGCCACCAAGAGACACAACAAUGAUUCCAUUAAACUGGAAGUUAAGAUUGCCACCUGGCCACUUUGGGCUCUUCUUACUUUUAAGCCAACUUGCUAAGAAGGGAGUUACAGUGUUUGACCCAGACUAUCAAGAUGAAAUCAGUCUACUACUCCACAAUGGCGGUAAGGAAGUAUGCGUGGAAUACAGGAGAUCACGUAGGGCGUCUCUUAAUAUUACCAUGCCCUGUGAUUAAGGUCAAUGGGAAACUGCAACAGCCCAAUCCAGGCAGGAUGACAAAUGGCCCAGACCCUUCAGGAAUGAAGGUUUGGGUCACUCCACCAGGUAAAAAAAACAUAAUCUGCUGAGGUGCUUGCUGAAGGCAAACGGAAUUCAGAAUGGGUAGUCAAAGAAGGUAGUCAUCAAUACGAACUAUGACCAUGUGACCAGCUGCAGAAAAUGAGGACUGUAAUUGUCAUGAGUAUUUCCUCCUCCUUUUGUUAGGAACAUGUUUGUGCAUAUAUACACUUGUAUUAAGAAAAUAUCUUCAUUUUAUUUCCUUUCUUUUGCCUUUAUCAUGUGACAUAAGACUUACUGACUUGAUAUCAGCACUUAAGUGUUGUUAACUCUAUGUAAUAGCAUUUGGGUUGGGGAUUGGUGCGUUUCCGGUUGUACAAAGGAUAGCUGUAUUAUGUUAAGCGUAAUUAUGACCUUAUUAUUGUCUUUAUUUGAAGAUCAUGUAUGAUUUCAGGAGACGUGUAUGGGUUCAAGUUGACAAGGGGUGGACUGGUGAUGGUUAAUAUUGUCAACUAGAUUGGAUUGAAAGAUGCAAAGUAUUGUUCCUGGGUGUGUCUGUGAGGGUAUUGCCAAAGGCGAUUAACAUUUGAGUCAAUGGACUAGGAAAGGCAGACCCACCUCAAUCUGGAUGGGCACAAUGUAAUCAACUGUCAGCUAGGCCAGAAUAAAAGCAGACAGAAGAACGUGGAAAGACCAGACUGGUUUAGCCUCUGAGCCUACGUCUUUCUCCCAUGCUGGACGCUUCCUGCCCUCGAAUAUUGAACUCCAAGGUCUUCAACUUUGGGAUUCGGACUGGCUUCCUUGCCCCUCAGCUUGCAGGCAGCCUACUGUGGGACCUCAUCUGGUGAUCAUCUGAGUCAAUAUUCCGUAAUAACUCUGAUUUAUAUAUACAUCUAUCCUAUUAGUUCUAUCCCGCUAGAGAACUCUGAUUAAUAGAGCAGUUGAGUUGCAUCUUCAGACAUGAACCAAGUGUCUGGCUUUGGUCUCAAAGAGACUGAAUUAGACUCUUAGCUCUGCCAAUUACUUGGCAGGAACCACUAGGCAAAUUACUGAUAAUCUUUGUGCCUUAGUCUUACUCUUCUGCUAAAUGAAGCUAAUAAUAUUUAUUAUUAUUAGCUCAUGGAGAUGCAGAAUAAAGUGAGAUAACAUUUAAAUGCCUGAAAAAUGCCUGGCACAUGAUAGGCAGUAAACAGUAGUGUCAUUUCAAAACAACAUUCUCGCCAGGUGCGGUGGUUCACGCCUGUAAUCCCAGCACUUUGGGAGGCCGAGGCAGGCAGAUCACAAGGUCAGGAGAUCGAGACCAUCCUGGCCAACAUGGUGAAAUCCCCAUCCCUAAUAAAUAACAAAAAUUAGCUGGACAUGGUGGCACGUGCCUGUAAUCCCAGCUACUCGAGAGCCUGAGGCAGGAGAAUCGCUUGAACAGGAAGUCAGAGGUUGCGGUAAGCUGAGAUGGCGCCACUGUACUCACAGAGGUUGCAGUGAGCCGAUCGCGCCAGCCUGGUGACAGAGCGAGACUCUGUUUCAAAAAAAAAAAAAGCAUUCUUGGCUGGGUGAGGUGGCUCACACCUUGUAAUCCCAGCACUUUGGGAGGCCGAGGUAGGCGAAUCACCUGAGGUUGGGAGUUCGAGACCAGCCUGGACAACGUGGUGAAACCCCCCUCUCUACUAAAAAUACAAAAAAUUAGCCAGGUGUGAUGGCGUAUGCCUGUAAUCACAGCUACUUGGGAGGCUGAGGCAGAAGAAUCGCUUGAACCCAGGAGGCGGAGGUUGCAGUGAGCCAAGAUGGGACCACUGCACUCUAGCCUGGGCAACAAAGAGAGACUCCGUCUC
RNAcentral lists this long non-coding RNA (2961 nucleotides) under Homo sapiens (human). Its description in RNAcentral is "PREDICTED lncRNA (TCONS_00037649)". Lineage: Eukaryota; Metazoa; Chordata; Mammalia; Primates; Hominidae. The record is from RNAcentral.